UGGGGAAUAUUGCGCAAUGGGCGAAAGCCUGACGCAGCGACGCCGCGUGUGGGAUGACGGCCUUCGGGUUGUAAACCACUGUCGGGAGGGACGAAUGCGCCGCAAGGCGAGUGACGGUACCUCCAAAGGAAGCACCGGCUAACUCCGUGCCAGCAGCCGCGGUAAUACGGAGGGUGCGAGCGUUGUCCGGAAUCACUGGGCGUAAAGGGCGCGUAGGCGGCCUGGUAAGUAGGGGGUGAAAUCCUGCGGCUUAACCGCAGGGCUGCCUUCUAAACUGUCAGGCUCGAGCACAGUAGAGGCAGGUGGAAUUCCCGGUGUAGCGGUGGAAUGCGUAGAGAUCGGGAAGAACAUCAGUGGCGAAGGCGGCCUGCUGGGCUGUUGCUGACGCUGAGGCGCGACAGCGUGGGGAGCAAACAGG
Molecule: ribosomal RNA, 418 nt
Filed under: Bacillota bacterium
Lineage: Bacteria; Bacillati; Bacillota
Also listed under: 1 other name
Description: Firmicutes bacterium partial 16S ribosomal RNA
Rfam family: Bacterial small subunit ribosomal RNA
Source: RNAcentral